CAGUCGCCGCGGUAAUACGAGGGGGGCAAGCGUUGUUCGGAAUUAUUGGGCGUAAAGGGCGCGUAGGCGGUUUGGCAAGUUUGGUGUGAAAUCUUCGGGCUCAACUCGAAGUCUGCAUCGAAAACUGCCGGGCUUGAGUAUGGGAGAGGUGAGUGGAAUUUCCGGUGUAGCGGUGAAAUGCGUAGAUAUCGGAAGGAACACCUGUGGCGAAAGCGGCUCACUGGACCAUUACUGACGCUGAGGCGCGAAAGCUAGGGGAGCAAACAGGAUUAGAUACCCUAGUAGUCCCUGUCUCUUAUAC
Molecule: ribosomal RNA, 301 nt
Filed under: uncultured bacterium
Lineage: Bacteria
Description: partial 16S ribosomal RNA
Rfam family: Bacterial small subunit ribosomal RNA
Source: RNAcentral